RNAcentral lists this ribosomal RNA (301 nucleotides) under uncultured bacterium. RNAcentral's name for it is "partial 16S ribosomal RNA". It matches the Rfam family "Bacterial small subunit ribosomal RNA", at positions 509 to 807 of the family's 1533-position model. The record is from RNAcentral.
CAGUAGCCACGGUAAUACGUAGGGUGCGAGCGUUAAUCGGGAUUACUGGGCGUAAAGCGUGCGCAGGCGGUUUUGUAAGACAGGCGUGAAAUCCCCGGGCUCAACCUGGGAAUGGCGCUUGUGACUGCAAAGCUAGAGUGCGGCAGAGGGGGAUGGAAUUCCGCGUGUAGCAGUGAGAUGCGUAGAUAUGCGGAGGAACACCGAUGGCGAAGGCAAUCCCCUGGGCCUGCACUGACGCUCAUGCACGAAAGCGUGGGGAGCAAACAGGAUUAGAUACCCCCGUAGUCCCUGUCUCUUAUAC